This 208-nucleotide ribosomal RNA is filed under the name uncultured bacterium. RNAcentral describes it as "partial 16S ribosomal RNA". It matches the Rfam family "Bacterial small subunit ribosomal RNA", at positions 568 to 774 of the family's 1533-position model. The record is from RNAcentral.
CUCGUAGGCGGUUCGUCGCGUCCGGUGUGAAAGUCCAUCGCUUAACGGUGGAUCCGCGCCGGGUACGGGCGGGCUUGAGUGCGGUAGGGGAGACUGGAAUUCCCGGUGUAACGGUGGAAUGUGUAGAUAUCGGGAAGAACACCAAUGGCGAAGGCAGGUCUCUGGGCCGUUACUGACGCUGAGGAGCGAAAGCGUGGGGAGGCGAACA